GCGACCCCAGGAUGGGCGGGGCUACCCGCUGAGUUUAAGCAUAUCAAUAAGCGGAGGAGAAGAAACUUACGAGGAUUCCCCUAGUAACGGCGAGCGAACCGGGAUAGGCCCAGCGUUGGAAUCGGGGUGCCAUAUAGCAGCUCGAAUUGUAGUCUGGAGAAGCGUCCUCAGCGACGGACCGGGCCCAAGUCUCCUGGAAAGGGGCGCCAGGGAGGGUGAGA
This 221-nucleotide ribosomal RNA is filed under the name Dendrobium miyakei. RNAcentral describes it as "partial 26S ribosomal RNA". It matches the Rfam family "Eukaryotic large subunit ribosomal RNA", at positions 1 to 217 of the family's 3401-position model. The record is from RNAcentral. Lineage: Eukaryota; Viridiplantae; Streptophyta; Magnoliopsida; Asparagales; Orchidaceae.